CUAGAUCACGUCUAAGACAUGGAAAGUGGAACCUUCAUGGAAGGUGGCCGAACCGAUCGCAUAUACUUUUCCAACACGGAGAAGAAGGGGAUAUAAAAUCAUCCCGGCCGUCCGUUCCAAGCUCCAGGCCCCCUCAUCAAUCCUCGACGCGUCUGUCCGUCCGUCAUCGCGCGCGCGCGGCACAGAAGUCAGAACCCCCAACCACGCCCGCCACCGCCGACCGCGCACCGCCC
Molecule: long non-coding RNA, 233 nt
Filed under: Hordeum vulgare
Lineage: Eukaryota; Viridiplantae; Streptophyta; Magnoliopsida; Poales; Poaceae
Description: long non-coding RNA (HVUL_LNC002733)
Source: RNAcentral